RNAcentral lists this long non-coding RNA (384 nucleotides) under Phoenix dactylifera (date palm). Its description in RNAcentral is "long non-coding RNA (PDAC_LNC012612)". Lineage: Eukaryota; Viridiplantae; Streptophyta; Magnoliopsida; Arecales; Arecaceae. The record is from RNAcentral.
CUCCAAUAUGGCCAAGCCUGAGGUGCCACAAAUAUCUUUGGUUUAUCUCAUCUCUGGAUCUUUUGGAUCCUUUGGCACUCACUUCUUGCUCGGUAACAUUCACAGAUACAUCCAUAUGUAAAUGAUAGAGACUGUCGAUCAUGAAACCACGUGCGACUAUUUUAUUUCUUAAAUAAAUAGAACAGCAGUCUUUGUCAAAUGUAAAAACAUGACCUUCCUGUGCUAGGCAUGAAACAGAAAUCAAGUUUCUGCUAGCAACAGGUACAUAAUAGCAGUCUCUAAGUAUUAAACUAAAUCCAGACGGCAGUCGCAGAUGGUAGGUGCCCACAGCUACAGCAGCAACUUUUGCCCCGUUGCCAACCCGAAGGGUUACCGCACCUUCCG